AUUGAACGCUGGCGGCAUGCCUUACACAUGCAAGUCGAACGGUAACGGGCCUUCGGGUGCCGACGAGUGGCGAACGGGUGAGUAAUACAUCGGAACGUGCCCGAUCGUGGGGGAUAACGAGGCGAAAGCUUUGCUAAUACCGCAUACGAUCUACGGAUGAAAGCCGGGGACCGCAAGGCCUUGCGCGGACGGAGCGGCCGAUGGCCGAGUAGGUAGUUGGUGGGAUAAAAGCUUACCAAGCCGACGAUCUGUAGCUGGUCUGAGAGGAUGAUCAGCCACACUGGGACUGAGACACGGCCCAGACUCCUACGGGAGGCAGCAGUGGGGAAUUUUGGACAAUGGGCGCAAGCCUGAUCCAGCCAUGCCGCGUGCAGGAUGAAGGCCUUCGGGUUGUAAACUGCUUUUGUACGGAACGAAAAGCCUUCUUUUAAUACAGGAGGGUCAUGACGGUACCGUAAGAAUAAGCACCGGCUAACUACGUG
RNAcentral lists this ribosomal RNA (482 nucleotides) under uncultured bacterium. Its description in RNAcentral is "partial 16S ribosomal RNA". It matches the Rfam family "Bacterial small subunit ribosomal RNA", at positions 30 to 507 of the family's 1533-position model. The record is from RNAcentral.